Molecule: non-coding RNA, 92 nt
Organism: Acanthosepion pharaonis
Lineage: Eukaryota; Metazoa; Mollusca; Cephalopoda; Sepiida; Sepiidae
Source: the annotation of a GenBank genome assembly
UUGAAACACCGGUUCUCGUAUGAUCACGGAAGUUAAGCAACGUCGAGUCUGGUCAGUACCUAGAUGGAUAACUUCUUGGGAAUAUCAGGCGC